UCCCUGGAGGACUAGUGGUUAGGCAACGGCGCUGUCACUGCCGCGGCCCGGGUUUGAUUCCUGGCCAGGGAA
RNAcentral lists this transfer RNA (72 nucleotides) under Pangasianodon gigas (Mekong giant catfish). RNAcentral describes it as "tRNA-Asp". It matches the Rfam family "tRNA". Rfam says of the family: Transfer RNA (tRNA) molecules are approximately 80 nucleotides in length. Lineage: Eukaryota; Metazoa; Chordata; Actinopteri; Siluriformes; Pangasiidae. The record is from RNAcentral.